CCUACGGGAGGCAGCAGUAGGGAAUCUUCCACAAUGGGCGAAAGCCUGAUCGAGCCACGCCGCGUGGGUGAAGAAGGUCCUCGGAUCGUAAAACCCUGUUGUUAGAGAAGUAACUUCGUGAGCGUAUCUGUUCACGUUUCGACGGUAUCUAACCAGAAAGCCCCGGCUAACUACGUGCCAGCAGCCGCGGUAAUACGUAGGGGGCAAGCGUUAUUCGGAUUUAUUGGGCGGAAAGGGAACGCAGGAGGUCUUUUAAGUCUGAUGUGAAAGCCUUCGGCUUAACCGGGGUAGUGCAUUUGAGACUGGGAGACUUGAGUGCAGAAGAGGAGUGUGGAACUCCAUGUGUAGCGGUGAAAUGCGUAGAUAUAUGGAAGAACACCAAUGGCGAAGGCGGCUCUCUGGUCUGUGACUGACGCUGAGGUUCGAAAGCGUGGGUAGCAAACAGGAUUAGAUACCCCUGUAGUC
RNAcentral lists this ribosomal RNA (465 nucleotides) under uncultured bacterium. Its description in RNAcentral is "partial 16S ribosomal RNA". It matches the Rfam family "Bacterial small subunit ribosomal RNA", at positions 338 to 795 of the family's 1533-position model. The record is from RNAcentral.